Long non-coding RNA from Pecten maximus, 569 nucleotides. RefSeq lists it as uncharacterized. The transcript is spliced from 3 exons. NCBI's taxonomy places the organism in Eukaryota, Metazoa, Mollusca, Bivalvia, Pectinida, Pectinidae. The record is from RefSeq and is a predicted model, not a curated record.
GUUAUGGAUACACUGUCUGCAGUGAAGUCAGUCAUUUGGAAUGAUUUGAUGUUUCUCCUGAGUACAAGAAGCUGCAUGUAGAUCACAGAGCAUAUAGUUAUGGAUAUACAGUCUGAAGUGAACGCAGUCAUUUGGAUUGAUUUGAUGUUUCUCCUGAGUACAAGAAGCUGCAUGUAGAUCACAGAGCAUAUAGGUACAAUGGAAUCUGCAACAAAGCCUUAUUGCUGUGUUGUGUGCUCAAAGAGGACUAAGGCCAAGGACAGAAGACCUGUAGGAGGCAUAACCAACAAAGCAUUUAGAAAAUACCUAGAAAAAUGUUUCAUGAUCAAAGCGGUUGAUGGUGACAUUACUUGUGGAAAGUGUCGCAUGAAAUUUUAUAAUAAGAAGACAUCUCAACAUAUUGUUGCCAAUAAUUCUAUUUCAGAUGUCCCCAAAGAGGUUGAUGUUGUAGGCAAAGUAAAGUCUCCUCGCAACAUUUCUCUAAAGUUGUCGUCUGUGGCAGGAUCGUCAAACAGCACUUGUUGUGUAUGUCGAAAAGGGAUGUGAAAGUCCAUUGUAGUGUCAACAUU